This 440-nucleotide ribosomal RNA is filed under the name uncultured bacterium. RNAcentral describes it as "partial 16S ribosomal RNA". It matches the Rfam family "Bacterial small subunit ribosomal RNA", at positions 338 to 795 of the family's 1533-position model. The record is from RNAcentral.
CCUACGGGAGGCAGCAGUGGGGAAUAUUGCACAAUGGGGGAAACCCUGAUGCAGCGACGCCGCGUGAGUGAAGAAGUAUUUCGGUAUGUAAAGCUCUAUCAGCAGGGAAGAAAAUGACGGUACCUGACUAAGAAGCCCCGGCUAGCUACGUGCCAGCAGCCGCGGUAAUACGGCGGGGGCAAGCGUUAUCCGGAUUUACUGGGUGUAAAGGGAGCGUAGACGGCCAGACAAGGCAGAAGGGAACGCCGAGGGCUCAACCCUGGGAGGGCUUGUGAUACUGCCGGCCUGGAGUGCAGGAGAGGGAAGCGGAAUGCCUAGUGUAGCGGUGAAAUGCGUAGAUAUUAGGAGGAACACCAGUGGCGAAGGCGGCUUACUGGACAGUAACUGACGUUGAGGCUCGAAGGCGUGGGGAGCAAACGGGAUUAGAUACCCGGGUAGUC